AUUGAACGCUGGCGGCAUGCCUUACACAUGCCAGUCGAACGGUAACGGGCCUUCGGGUGCCGACGAGUGGCGAACGGGUGAGUAAUACAUCGGAACGUGCCCGAUCGUGGGGGAUAACGAGGCGAAAGCUUUGCUAAUACCGCAUACGAUCUACGGAUGAAAGCAGGGGACCGCAAGGCCUUGCGCGGACGGAGCGGCCGAUGGCAGAUUAGGUAGUUGGUGGGAUAAAAGCUUACCAAGCCGACGAUCUGUAGCUGGUCUGAGAGGAUGAUCAGCCACACUGGGACUGGGACACGGCCCAGACUCCUACGGGAGGCAGCAGUGGGGAAUUUUGGACAAUGGGCGCAAGCCUGAUCCAGCCAUGCCGCGUGCAGGAUGAAGGCCUUCGGGUUGUAAACUGCUUUUGUACGGAACGAAAAGCCUUCUUUUAAUACAGGAGGGUCAUGACGGUACCGUAAGAAUAAGCACCGGCUAACUACGUG
Molecule: ribosomal RNA, 482 nt
Filed under: uncultured bacterium
Lineage: Bacteria
Description: partial 16S ribosomal RNA
Rfam family: Bacterial small subunit ribosomal RNA
Source: RNAcentral